UAGAGUUUGAUCAUGGCUCAGGAUUAACGCUGGCGGUAUGCCUAAUACAUGCAAGUCGAACGAGAUUUAUGAUUAAGUUUCAAGUCCCAAGUUCCAAGUUUUGAGUUUAUCUUAAACACUUGUUACAUGGCACCUGAUACUUUAUUACAUUUCUAGUGGCGGACGGGUGAGUAACACGUUGGAACCUGCCCCAAAGUGAGGAAUAAGCCACCGAAAGGUGGUCUAAUACUUCAUAAUAUCCAUCUCGUAUGGAUUAAAGCUUUAUGCGCUUUGGGAGGGGCCUGCGUAACAUUAGCUUGUUGGUGAGGUAAAAGCUCACCAAGGCUUCGAUGUUUAACUGGUUUGAGAGGAUGACCAGUCACACUGGGACUGAGAUACGGCCCAGACUCCUACGGGAGGCAGCAGUAAGGAAUCUUCCACAAUGGGGGCAACCCUGAUGGAGCAAUACCGCGUGCAGGAUGAAGCGUUUCGGCGUGUAAACUGCUUUUAUCACCGAAGAUUAUGACUGUAGGUGAAGAAUAAGGACCGGCUAACUACGUGCCAGCAGCCGCGGUAUA
RNAcentral lists this ribosomal RNA (557 nucleotides) under uncultured bacterium. RNAcentral's name for it is "bacterial SSU rRNA". It matches the Rfam family "Bacterial small subunit ribosomal RNA", at positions 1 to 524 of the family's 1533-position model. The record is from RNAcentral.